CAAUAGCGUAUAUUUAAGUUGUUGCAGUUAAAAAGCUCGUAGUUGGAUUUCUGCUGAUCGCUGUCGGUCUGCCGUCAGGUGUGUACUGGCAGUGUUUGGCAUCUAUUCGAGAUUGGGUGUCCACUUGAUUGUGUGCACUCGAUGUCGGAGCUAAUACUUUGAGAAAAUUAGAGUGUUCCACGCAGGCGCGUGCCUUGAAUACUGCAGCAUGGGAUAUUGGAAGGCCGAUUGAGCUUUCUUGUUGGUUCUCGGUUUGAUCGGAAUGAUUAAUAGGGAUAGUUGGGGGCAUUCGUAUUCGACUGUCAGAGGUGAAAUUCUUGGAUUUGUUGAAGACGGACUACUGCGAAAGCAUCUGCCAUGGAUGUUCUCAUUG
This 373-nucleotide ribosomal RNA is filed under the name uncultured eukaryote. RNAcentral describes it as "partial 18S ribosomal RNA". It matches the Rfam family "Eukaryotic small subunit ribosomal RNA", at positions 592 to 975 of the family's 1831-position model. The record is from RNAcentral.